Molecule: small RNA, 28 nt
Filed under: Bombyx mori (domestic silkworm)
Lineage: Eukaryota; Metazoa; Arthropoda; Insecta; Lepidoptera; Bombycidae
Description: ovarian small RNA-686
Source: RNAcentral
UACCAACUUGUGCAGCUGCUGGUGGAGC